AAUCUGCCGGAAGGAAGGGGAUAGCCCAUGGAAACGUGGAUUAAUACCCUGUGUGGUUCUAGGAGGCAUCUUCUAGCAACUAAACGUGGCGCAAGCUGCGGCCUUCUGAUGAGUUCGCGGCCUAUCAGCUUGUUGGCGGGGUAACGGCCCACCAAGGCGAUGACGGGUAGCUGGUCUGAGAGGAUGACCAGCCACACUGGAACUGAGACACGGUCCAGACACCUACGGGUGGCAGCAGUCGAGAAUCAUUCACAAUGGGCGAAAGCCUGAUGGUGUGACGCCGCGUGGAG
Molecule: ribosomal RNA, 290 nt
Filed under: uncultured bacterium
Lineage: Bacteria
Description: partial 16S ribosomal RNA
Rfam family: Bacterial small subunit ribosomal RNA
Source: RNAcentral